RNAcentral lists this long non-coding RNA (226 nucleotides) under Rosa chinensis. RNAcentral describes it as "sRNA RchiOBHm_Chr2g0103931". The record is from RNAcentral. Lineage: Eukaryota; Viridiplantae; Streptophyta; Magnoliopsida; Rosales; Rosaceae.
AUGGAUCUGCAGUUGUUGAUUAAAAUGGUCUGUAAGCUUGGUAAUUGUUGCUGCAGUUUUUUUGGUGUUGCGUUUAUGUUUGUGACAGAAUACAUAGCUUCAGUCUGAUGUGAGGCUAGCAUAGGUUACCUAUGGUUUUGUUUUUAAGCUAGAUUUAGAGUAGUUAUGAAUGAGGUGAUAUAAUUUGAUUGUUUUACAGUUUGGUCGUGCUUCUGGAAUCAUACAG